This 493-nucleotide ribosomal RNA is filed under the name uncultured bacterium. RNAcentral's name for it is "partial 16S ribosomal RNA". It matches the Rfam family "Bacterial small subunit ribosomal RNA", at positions 28 to 507 of the family's 1533-position model. The record is from RNAcentral.
GACGAACGCUGGCGGUGUGCUUAACACAUGCAAGUGGUGCGACGAACCAGAGCUUGCUCUGGGGCAAAGCCGCGAACGGGUGAGUAACACGUGGGUAAUCUACCCCGAUGACCGGGACAACCCGAGUAAACUCGGGCUAAUACCGGAUGUGGUGCGGAGACAUAAGUCUCUUCACUAAAGGUAGCUUCGGCUUCCGCAUUGGGAGGGGCCCGCGGCCCAUUAGCUUGUUGGUGGGGUCAAGGCCUACCAAGGCAACGAUGGGUAGCUGGUCUGCGAGGACGAUCAGCCACACUGGGACUGAGACACGGCCCAGACUCCUACGGGAGGCAGCAGUGGGGAAUCUUGCGCAAUGCGCGAAAGCGUGACGCAGCAACACCGCGUGAGGGAAGAAGGCCUUAGGGUUGUAAAACUCUUUCAGAUGGGACGAAGGUACUCCGGUGAAUAGCCGAGAGGAUUGACGGUACCGUCAGAAGAAGCUCCGGCUAACUACGUG